This 429-nucleotide ribosomal RNA is filed under the name Triticum aestivum (bread wheat). Its description in RNAcentral is "partial small subunit ribosomal RNA". The record is from RNAcentral. Lineage: Eukaryota; Viridiplantae; Streptophyta; Magnoliopsida; Poales; Poaceae.
AUGUCCGACCAGAGCACAGAGGUCGACCACGUUCAGGUCCCCGGUCAGAAGCACGACUACAAAGUGCACCACAAGGAGGUUGACAUCCACGGCAAGGAAAAGCUGGAUGUCGUAUGCACCAGCAAUCCCGAGGAAGCCGACAAGAUGAUCAGCAGGAUCCUGAAGAGGGUCUGCGGCUUUUACCCUCAGUACAUCGGCGUUGAUGUCAAGUAUACCAGGGAGGACGAACCUCCGCAGAGGGCAGCGGUUCUACAGUUAUGCAUGGAGGAACUCUGUUUGGUAUAUCACAUCACCGCGGCAACAAAAUGGCCCAAGAGCCUGCGCCCAUUCCUGAAGGAGGACAUGUUCUACACCUUUGCCGGGUUCAGUAUUGAAGGUGACAAAGAGAUGAUGCGAAGUUCUGGUUUGGAGAUCAACCCCAACAAGUAA